Pelecanus crispus (Dalmatian pelican) is the source of this 379-nucleotide non-coding RNA. NCBI's taxonomy places the organism in Eukaryota, Metazoa, Chordata, Aves, Pelecaniformes, Pelecanidae. The record is from RefSeq and is a predicted model, not a curated record.
UACACGUGUGAUCAAAAUGGAAACAAAGCCUGCAUGGAAGGUUGGAUGGGAGAAGAAUGUAAACAAGCUGUAUGUAAACAAGGAUGUAAUUUGCUCCAUGGGGGUUGCAGUACACCUGGGGAAUGCAAGUGUCAUUAUGGUUGGCAAGGACAGUUCUGUGAUGAGUGUGUCCGCUACCCAGGCUGUGCUCAUGGGAGCUGUAAUGAACCAUGGCAGUGUAAUUGUGAAACCAACUGGGGUGGCCUGCUCUGUAACAAAGAUCUGAAUUACUGUGGAAAUCACCAUCCCUGCCUGAACGGUGGAACCUGCAUGAAUACUGAACCAGAUGAAUAUCGAUGUGCUUGCCCAGAUGGCUACUCUGGAAAGAACUGUGAAAUUG